Molecule: ribosomal RNA, 1435 nt
Filed under: Weissella confusa
Lineage: Bacteria; Bacillati; Bacillota; Bacilli; Lactobacillales; Lactobacillaceae
Description: bacterial SSU rRNA
Rfam family: Bacterial small subunit ribosomal RNA
Source: RNAcentral
UUUGUGGUUCAACUGAUUUGAAGAGCUUGCUCAGAUAUGACGAUGAACAUUGCAAAGAGUGGCGAACGGGUGAGUAACACGUGGGAAACCUACCUCUUAGCAGGGGAUAACAUUUGGAAACAGAUGCUAAUACCGUAUAACAAUGACAACCGCAUGGUUGUUAUUUAAAAGAUGGUUCUGCUAUCACUAAGAGAUGGUCCCGCGGUGCAUUAGCUAGUUGGUAAGGUAAUGGCUUACCAAGGCGAUGAUGCAUAGCCGAGUUGAGAGACUGAUCGGCCACAAUGGGACUGAGACACGGCCCAUACUCCUACGGGAGGCAGCAGUAGGGAAUCUUCCACAAUGGGCGAAAGCCUGAUGGAGCAACGCCGCGUGUGUGAUGAAGGGUUUCGGCUCGUAAAACACUGUUGUAAGAGAAGAAUGACAUUGAGAGUAACUGUUCAAUGUGUGACGGUAUCUUACCAGAAAGGAACGGCUAAAUACGUGCCAGCAGCCGCGGUAAUACGUAUGUUCCAAGCGUUAUCCGGAUUUAUUGGGCGUAAAGCGAGCGCAGACGGUUAUUUAAGUCUGAAGUGAAAGCCCUCAGCUCAACUGAGGAAUUGCUUUGGAAACUGGAUGACUUGAGUGCAGUAGAGGAAAGUGGAACUCCAUGUGUAGCGGUGAAAUGCGUAGAUAUAUGGAAGAACACCAGUGGCGAAGGCGGCUUUCUGGACUGUAACUGACGUUGAGGCUCGAAAGUGUGGGUAGCAAACAGGAUUAGAUACCCUGGUAGUCCACACCGUAAACGAUGAGUGCUAGGUGUUUGAGGGUUUCCGCCCUUAAGUGCCGCAGCUAACGCAUUAAGCACUCCGCCUGGGGAGUACGACCGCAAGGUUGAAACUCAAAGGAAUUGACGGGGACCCGCACAAGCGGUGGAGCAUGUGGUUUAAUUCGAAGCAACGCGAAGAACCUUACCAGGUCUUGACAUCCCUUGACAACUCCAGAGAUGGAGCGUUCCCUUCGGGGACAAGGUGACAGGUGGUGCAUGGUUGUCGUCAGCUCGUGUCGUGAGAUGUUGGGUUAAGUCCCGCAACGAGCGCAACCCUUAUUACUAGUUGCCAGCAUUCAGUUGGGCACUCUAGUGAGACUGCCGGUGACAAACCGGAGGAAGGUGGGGAUGACGUCAAAUCAUCAUGCCCCUUAUGACCUGGGCUACACACGUGCUACAAUGGCGUAUACAACGAGUUGCCAACCCGCGAGGGUGAGCUAAUCUCUUAAAGUACGUCUCAGUUCGGAUUGUAGGCUGCAACUCGCCUACAUGAAGUCGGAAUCGCUAGUAAUCGCGGAUCAGCACGCCGCGGUGAAUACGUUCCCGGGUCUUGUACACACCGCCCGUCACACCAUGAGAGUUUGUAACACCCAAAGCCGGUGGGGUAACCUUCGGGAGCCAGCCGUCUAA